Molecule: ribosomal RNA, 458 nt
Filed under: uncultured bacterium
Lineage: Bacteria
Description: bacterial SSU rRNA
Rfam family: Bacterial small subunit ribosomal RNA
Source: RNAcentral
UACGGAAGGCAGCAGUGGGGAAUAUUGCACAAUGGGCGAAAGCCUGAUGCAGCUAUGCCGCGUGUAUGAAGAAGGCCUUAGGGUUGUAAAGUACUUUCAUCGGGGAGGAAAAAACAAAACUAAUAAUUUUAUUUCUUGACGUUACCCGAAAAAGAAGCACCGGCUAACUCCGUGCCAGCAGCCGCGGUAAUACGGAGGGUGCUAGCGUUAAUCAGAAUUACUGGGCGUAAAGAGCACGUAGGUGGUUUUUUUAAGUCAGAUGUGAAUCCCUGGGCUUAACCUAGGAACUGCAUUUUGAAACUGAAAUACUAGAGUAUCGUAGAGGGAGGUAGAAUUCUAGGUGUAGCGGUGAAAUGCGUAGAUAUCUGGAGGAAUACCUGUGGCGAAAGCGGCCUCCUAAACGAAUACUGACACUGAGGUGCGAAAGCGUGGGGAGCAAACAGGGAUUAGAUACCCGU